GUAAGCUCCUAUAUGUGUUUUUAUCUGCAAUUUUACUUGGCACUAAAAGUAGGUUCCAUAGUGAACGUUUAUCGGAUUGCAUAGAAAUGUCAAACGUUGCCUCAUUCAUACAAAUUGACUGGUUAAUGCAUUUAAUCAUAGGUCUUCUCACCACCUUGAAAUCUAGAAAAUUUGAUUCUCAGUGCCUGCAGCCAUGUUAUUUUUGUUGAAAGUUCUGUGUGAAAAAUUGCUAAAGCUUUUUCUUGGUUUAGAUGUUAUGAAGGUGAAUCUUAUUAAAUAGGAAUAUAUUUGCACUUGAUCAAGUUCCAUGGAUUGUUCUAAAAAUUAAAUUUGGUUACUAACCUUCAUCUUGUAGUUGUAAGAGCAGAUUAUCAAUUCAGAUUGCAGUAUUGGCUUACUUUUAUUGGACAUAGGUUGAGUUAGCAUUAAAUAUAGCAACUCUGGUUCUAAAAUGAGUGUUCCUUGUCACUAUGUUAAGAAGCUGUCUUUUUUUGGACUUUAGAUGCCUGGUCUUGCAGAUGGACCUUCCUUUUUGUUAUUUUUGUUAAUGAUUAUGUUCUAGCUUUUUCCCAACUCUUUAUAUAAUUGAAACUGGGUUUUUAGGUAUUUUAUUUUGAAUGUGGGAAUCUGAUUGGUUAUGUGGUGCAGGAUUUAUUGCCAUGCACGCUACU
RNAcentral lists this unclassified non-coding RNA (671 nucleotides) under Hevea brasiliensis (rubber tree). The record is from RNAcentral. Lineage: Eukaryota; Viridiplantae; Streptophyta; Magnoliopsida; Malpighiales; Euphorbiaceae.